AGAGUCUUCGCCCGGGAAGAAGGAUCCUGUGAAGGUCCGGGAUUUUGUCGCCGCGGCGAAAGCAGCGUUCGAGUCGCUUGAAUCUU
This 86-nucleotide transfer RNA is filed under the name Lacipirellula limnantheis. RNAcentral's name for it is "Planctomycetes bacterium I41 tRNA-His". The record is from RNAcentral. Lineage: Bacteria; Pseudomonadati; Planctomycetota; Planctomycetia; Pirellulales; Lacipirellulaceae.